GCCCAGGUGGCGAAAUUGGUAGACGCGCUAGUUUCAGGUACUAGUCCUCGCAAGGGGGUGAAGGUUCGAGUCCUUUCUUGGGCACCA
RNAcentral lists this transfer RNA (87 nucleotides) under Armatimonadota bacterium. RNAcentral describes it as "Armatimonadetes bacterium (activated sludge metagenome) tRNA-Leu". It matches the Rfam family "tRNA". Rfam says of the family: Transfer RNA (tRNA) molecules are approximately 80 nucleotides in length. Their secondary structure includes four short double-helical elements and three loops (D, anti-codon, and T loops). Lineage: Bacteria; Bacillati; Armatimonadota. The record is from RNAcentral.